UUUCCGUAGGUGAACCUGCGGAAGGAUCAUUAUCGUACAACCGAGGUGCAAAGGCUGUCGCUGACCCUCAAAGGUCGUGCACGCCCGAGCGCUCUCACACAAUCCAUCUCACCUUUGUGCAUCACCGCGUGGGUCCCCCUUUUGCGGGGAGGGCUUGCGUUUUCACAUAAAACUUGAUACAGUGUAGAAUGUUUCUUUUUGCGGUCACACGCAAUCAAUACAACUUUCAACAACGGAUCUCUUGGCUCUC
Molecule: unclassified non-coding RNA, 250 nt
Filed under: plant metagenome
Description: partial contains small subunit ribosomal RNA, internal transcribed spacer 1, and 5.8S ribosomal RNA
Source: RNAcentral